AGAGUGGGGUAGUUAAUAAGUGUUAUUUCCUAUUUGCUUCUAUCUAGAAAUCAAAGGAAAUGACUUCUAUUCCCUUCACACUUUGCUUUUGCGACCUGUUUUGAAACUGACCUAUUUUCCAUUACAUUUCAGACAGAUUCAGCUCUGAAUUGCUGAAGCAGAAUUAUCGUUAUAGCAAGUAUUCUACUCAAUACCACAUAUUUGUUUGUCAAUUGCUUGACAUUGACCACUUGAGAAUGUCCCUUAGUAACUGACAAUAUGUGCAUCCCUGAUCCACUAGGAUCAGUGGGGGAGCAUUAUAGCCAUG
Octopus sinensis (East Asian common octopus) is the source of this 307-nucleotide long non-coding RNA. RefSeq lists it as uncharacterized. The transcript is spliced from 3 exons. Lineage: Eukaryota; Metazoa; Mollusca; Cephalopoda; Octopoda; Octopodidae. The record is from RefSeq and is a predicted model, not a curated record.